AAAAGGAUUGGCUCUAAGGAUUGGGUACGUCGGGGUGUUUCUUGCAGCAGUGGACUUUGGGCGGCACUACUGGGGGCAACCCUGGCGGAGCUGCCUGAGGACUGCUGUGAACGGCUUCAUCUGCCUCACGGCGUCCGGCGUACGAUUAACAAUCAACUUAGAACUGGUACGGACAAGGGGAAUCUGACUGUCUAAUUAAAACAUAGCAUUGCGAUGGCCAGAAAGUGGUGUUGACGCAAUGUGAUUUCUGCCCA
This 254-nucleotide ribosomal RNA is filed under the name Aplanochytrium stocchinoi. RNAcentral describes it as "partial Eukaryotic large subunit ribosomal RNA". It matches the Rfam family "Eukaryotic large subunit ribosomal RNA", at positions 1941 to 2204 of the family's 3401-position model. The record is from RNAcentral. Lineage: Eukaryota; Bigyra; Thraustochytrida; Thraustochytriidae.